RNAcentral lists this long non-coding RNA (319 nucleotides) under Hordeum vulgare. RNAcentral's name for it is "long non-coding RNA (HVUL_LNC016686)". The record is from RNAcentral. Lineage: Eukaryota; Viridiplantae; Streptophyta; Magnoliopsida; Poales; Poaceae.
UUUAUUUGGUUAUAUUAUUAGGCUAUAAUUAGGUUAGUUAGUUAGGUUAGAAGAAAAAAGAGGAAAAGUAGAAGGAAAAAAUGAAAAAGAAAAAAGGAAAAGAAGAAAAUAAUUAGAAGAAGAACGAAAAGAAGAAGGAGAAGAAGAAGAAGAAGAAGAAGAGGACGAGGAGGAGGAGGAGAAAAGAAGAAGAAGAAGAAGAAGAAGAAGAAGAAGAGGAAUAGGAGGAGGAGGAGGAGAAAGAAGAAGAAGAAGAAGAAGAAGAAGAAGAAGAAGAAGAAGAAGAAAAACUCACCGGCCGUCUCCCUCUCCCUCUCAC